CCGCGUGCGGGAAGAAGGCCUUCGGGUUGUCAACCCGCUUUUAGUCGGGAAGAAAAGGCGCCGGAUAACACCCGGCGUUCUUGACGGUACCGGCGGAAUAAGCACCGGCUAACUACGUGCCAGCAGCCGCGGUAAUACGUAGGGUGCGAGCGUUAAUCGGAAUUACUGGGCGUUAAAGCGUGCGCAGCCGGUUCGUUAAAGUUUGCGGUGAAAGCCCCGGGCUCAACCUGGGAAUGGCCGUGGAAACUGGCGGGCUGGAGUGCGGCAGAGGGGGGUGGAAUUCCGCGUGUAGCAGUGAAAUGCGUAGAGAUGCGGAAGGAACACCGAUGGCGAAGGCAGCCCCCUGGGCCGACACUGACGCUCAGGCACGAAAGCGUGGGGAGCAAACAGGAUUAGAUACCCUGGUAGUCCACGCCCUAAACGAUGCUCACUAGGUGUUGGGGAAGCGAUUCCUUGGUACCGUAGCUAACGCGUGAAGUGAGCCGCCUGGGGAGUACGGCCGCAAGGUUAAAACUCAAAUGAAUUGACGG
Molecule: ribosomal RNA, 530 nt
Filed under: uncultured bacterium
Lineage: Bacteria
Description: bacterial SSU rRNA
Rfam family: Bacterial small subunit ribosomal RNA
Source: RNAcentral